UACCCACCCAUUCCAGAUUGAGCCAAUUGCAAAGAUUUGUUUUGUACCCCAUGGGGGAUUCCAACAUACACUGCAAGGGGAAAUAGAUGUCAGAAAUGCAGUGUUUUAUCACUGUAAGCUAUCUGUCCAGAACCAUAUUUGCUUGCAAUGCACAUCAUUGUAUUAUCAAAUCAUGCCAGUGGACUUCUGGUGAAGCUUAUGGGCAUCCUGCCUACACUGGACCUGAACAACCAUAUCCCAAGAAAGUGUGGUGUCUGGUCCAAAUGCUAAAGCUACUGGCCACAAUACCCUGGCAAGUGUGACGCAGGGUCCAAAUGCCACAGCUGAAGCAACUGCCAACCAUGCCUCUGCAGAAGCAGCCCGAGCCUCAGCUGAAGCAACUGCCAACCAUACCUCUGCAGAAGCGGCCGCCGGCCUCCGGCCUUGAACAAACGGCCCGACCCCUCGACAAGCUAGAUAGGGAGAUCAUAAUUUGGUUUGCCCAACUCCUUAAUCGUCUUUCCCCUGUUGCUGUGCCUCCAUUUGAAGAAACUUAUGCAUCGUCAUGCAAAUUGUUUACAGGGGUGAACACUACAAUGGUAUGAAUUGUUUUCAUAACCAUACGACUAAAAUUUACAUCUGAUUUGGCCUGGUGUUCCUGCUACUCUUGCAUGAUUUGUUCAGUAAACAAUUUGACUUUCAAAAUGAUGUGUCUUUUAAAUGUGGGUUUCUCUUCUGUC
Long non-coding RNA from Oncorhynchus kisutch (coho salmon), 719 nucleotides. RefSeq lists it as uncharacterized. The record is from RefSeq and is a predicted model, not a curated record. Lineage: Eukaryota; Metazoa; Chordata; Actinopteri; Salmoniformes; Salmonidae. The transcript has 2 exons.